AGAAUCAACGCUGGCGGCGUGCCUCAGACAUGCAAGUCGAACGCGAAAGUCCCCUUCGGGGGAUGAUUAGAGUGGCGCACGGGUGAGUAACACGUAGGUAAUCUACCUUCGAGUGGGGAAUAACUCAGGGAAACUUGAGCUAAUACCGCAUAAUGCAGCGGCACCACAUGGUGACAGUUGUUAAAGCAUUUAUGCGCUUGAAGAGGAGCCUGCGCAGAUUAGCUAGUUGGUAAAGUAAUGGCUUACCAAGGCUACGAUCU
Molecule: ribosomal RNA, 260 nt
Filed under: uncultured bacterium
Lineage: Bacteria
Description: partial small subunit ribosomal RNA
Rfam family: Bacterial small subunit ribosomal RNA
Source: RNAcentral